This is a non-coding RNA of Camellia sinensis, 5280 nucleotides long. The record is from RefSeq and is a predicted model, not a curated record. NCBI's taxonomy places the organism in Eukaryota, Viridiplantae, Streptophyta, Magnoliopsida, Ericales, Theaceae.
AAGUUGUGUGUGUGUAAUACAUGUGCUGGGAAGUUAGACUCAAACAUAUAGAAAAGAGAAAAGAGAGAACCAAAGAGAGAGAGAGAGAGAGCUUCAUUGUUUUUGCAUGCAAUGUAAUUAAUCUGCUGGUGCAAAACCGUGAGAAAGAGAGAGACAACCGUGGGUGAGAAAGAGAGAACCGUGAAUGAGGGAGAGUUCAACUCCUUAAAUCUUUGCUGGAAAUUUGAAGGAAAACCAAUGGAAAAGUGAAGAAAAGGAAGGAGAAACUCAAGUUUGGCUUGGAUUUGUCAAAAUUAUGCAAGAUUAAAUGUCUAUGAAGACUCUAGGUCGCGCGCCAUUGUCUGCUUGAUUUAUCUGAUAUGCCCAGUCUAUCUGAUUUGCUUCUGCAGCCAUCUGUGAUCAGGCGCGUGACCAGGCUUAGAGGCUUCUGCCUAGAAUCAGUUUUGUCAGCCAACCUAUGUGCCUCCCGUGGAGGUUUCGGAUAUUUUAAGUGAUUAUUGCUAUGUGACUUAAAGUUUAAGUUUUAUUUUCGUGUUUGGUUGAACAAGUCUUGUGUAUUUUGUAAAUAGGGUUAAGUUCCUUUUGUGUAAUCUGUGUUUAUACGACGACUUAAAGUUAAUGUGUAUAUAAAAAAGUUUAAAAUUUUUCUGUCUCAUAGCUCAAUGGACGUUGUAUAUUGUUAUUUGCUUCCGCUAGCCCCUAAUAUUACGUUAAUCUGUCUCAGAGGCCUUCGGUAAUCCCAGGAUCACCGGCCGAUUACGAUGCUAAACCCAUAGGGGUGGGUUUGGCUCGUGACAGAGUGGUAUCAAGACACGAGUUAAUUUCUCACACACGUGUCCAUUGAGCAUUAGAAUGUCUAGAACAGAUCUUAGUUUCAUGCAUGUAGAAGGUAAGUAAUAAGUGGUACAUUCAGGAAUAUGCAUAUAUGUUUGUGUAAUAUGUUUAUUGAAACUAAGAAUUAUGAGCUAUUAUGGAAUUAUGAUGAUUAUAAGGAAACUGGAAUGUGUUGAAUCAGUUUAGCGAUGAGGCUGAAAGCUAGGAAUUAUGGUGACAUCUCUGAAAUUUCUACUAUUAUAAGGAAAUCAGAAAAUUUGACUAGUACAUUGGUGAGAAUGAGUAUGUUGAUUUGUGGAAACAUAGUAUUGUGCAGAAUUAGAAUCUUUAACGAAAGUCAUGAAAGCUAUAUGGGUUAUAUGUUAAAUUGGACUAUGAGAAUAUUUAGAAAUUGAGAAAAUUGUUGAUCAAUAAAAUAUGUGGAACUAUGGUAAUUGAGGAUGAGAAAAGUCAUUUGAUAUGUAAGAUAGUACAUUUUGGUGGGAACCUAUUAUGUGGAAUGUUAAACCGUAGAGUCUCAUGCCUUUGUUGAAUGAUCUUGAAAGUCCGAUUGGAAUCACGUUUGGCCAGCGUUACUUCGAGUUGGAAAUUCUUGGUAAAUUCCUAGGGAAUGAACAGGUUACCCUACCAAUGUCCUUAUAUGCCUAUAUGUGUAUGUCUGCUUGUAUAUGAUAUGUGCUUUGUGUUAUAACUUAUGUCAAUUAAUUAACCCAAAUGUUAUCAAUUAUCUUCUUGUGUUUAACCCUUUCCUUUCGUCAUUAGGAGUAGAUGGUGAAAAAGUCUGAAUGGAGUGGAAAUUGAGUCUUUAUCAGAGUGAUUAGGUAAAAGAGAAGAAGUACUAGAGAACGUAGUAGAGCUGUGAAUCCUAUGGCAAGAUCAAAAGGAAGAGUUAAGUGUGGAAGUGAAAGAGAAUCAAAGAAGAAAACUAAGAAUUUUGUGGUAAGAAAGAUGAGUAAUUCUAAGCAAGUUGUAAGAGAGGUAAGUUAUCCUAGUAUGUCAAUAUGUCACAAGAUCUAUCGGGGACUGUGUCAUCAAAUUACUGGGAAUGUGAGAAGUUGGGCAUCAAAUAAAAGACUAUCCCAAACCUAAGAGAAAGCUCAAAUAAUUUAAUUGGUUAAGGAGAGUACUUGAGUACAAGUAGGACUGUUUGAAGUUAACAGUUUAUGUGUGAGUGGUUUUUUUUUUUAAUAAAGCUAUGUUAUAAUACUUUGAUAGAGCUUUACUUUGCUUUGUUUUGGAAAAGUAUUUGAUCAAAUAUGAAUGAUUAUCCAUUAGUUUCUGUAUCAAGUAUAAGCUUUGUUGUGAUGACAUUCUUGAAAGGUCCUUUCGUGCUAAGGGACGUUAAGCUUAUGUAACACCUUGUUGAGAUAUCUCUUUGCCAUCGACGGUCAUGUACGGAUGGUACCACCGACGGUCUUAUACGGGUGGGUUAUGUUUUGUCACCAACGGUUUUCCGGAUGGGUUGUCUAAUCGAUUUCGGGUUGGCCACUGACGGUCAUGAACGGGUGUGCUUCGAUUCCGGGACGGUUAUUCCCUUGUUUUGUCAAGAAUGUCAUCCCAUGUUUUGUUACAAGCUAUGUCAUGUAUUGUUUUGAUAUAGAUGGAACCCAUUUGUCGGACCAUUUAGAACUCAACUUGAUAUUGCCAAAAAUGAUUAAAACAUCGCUUAGACUUGACCAAUUGAUGAACAUGGGAAAAUAAUUGGGAUUUCUGUUUAGUCUAACAAAGCUAUAUGUUUUUGGGACCUUGUUCGAAUAGACAGAAAAUUGUACUCCAUAUUAGGAGACUGAAACUUAUGAGAGUUAGAAAGGAAAGACCCAAUUUACAAAAAUCGUAUCGCUAUUGAAUCUUCUAACAUUGAAAGAAACAUUUAUAAUUAUCUUAAGCUACAAAGUCAAAAUAUAGACUUCUAGAAAGGAAAACACAAUAAUUCCCCAUUGGAAAAGUGAUUAGAAAUGAAUGAUAUUAUGAUCUUGUAGGCAUAAUUAAAUUUCGAUUUUGAAUCCGACAUUAGCAUAACCUAUUGCAAAUAAAUUCAAUUCUAGUGUCGAACGGAAGAAAGAAAGCGUAAUAGGAAAUAAGGAAGUAAAUAUCGUUAGAAUGACAAGCGCAUAUUUCUUAAGGAACCUUUGGGAACAUAAGAAUUUUGAUUGGCUAAUUAUAAUGAUUUGAAGAAAAUUGAAAGUGUAGCCCUAAACUACCACGUGACAAUUGAUCAAAUUUGGUGAACGUGUCUAUAUGGGUCUACGAAUUGGAAUUUACAUAAAGACAAUGUAAUUUGAAUUUUGUAUAUAAGUGUAAUCUUAAGUAACUAAGGAAACUAAUGACCGCAUAAAACAUGGACCUUUUGUGAAAUCAAAUCACCACUUUGAAAUGAUAGUGUGAGUUAGAUUGUCAAAACGGUAAUUUUAAUUUCACAGAAGUAUGUAAAGUUCUGCUCUGAUCUGUAUGACUGCUUGCUACUAUAUGAGAGCAAGCCAACAUCUGUUAUUCAAUAGGCUCAAUGAAUUUCUGUGAAAUAUGCUUUGUUAUGACUCCGAUAUGCUUUUGUUUGAAAUCCAAUGUGCUCCUCUAUUUUGAAAUUACCAUCAUAAUUGGUACCCAAGAUGUUUGUUUGAAACUAAGACCAUUAAUAUGUGAUUACGUUUCCAUAUAAUUCGGAAAUUUCUGUUAUAGAUUAACACGUGGAACCUUAUUUUGGGAAGUUACGUUAUGUGCAUAACUUAAGAACCUUGACCAUAGUCAACGAAAGUUAAAUGUCUGUUCUUUUGGGGUAGGAUGAGUUACAAAUUGCAUAGCAAUAAUGUCGGGAUUGUAUUUUUGUUAAUAGGACUGAAGGAUCCAGAAAUUGUGUUUGUUAUUAGUAAUGCGUUGACUAUUAAAUUUAAUUUGAAGAAUCUAACAUGUCAAUAGCAAAAUAUUUUGAUCUGUUUGAAAAACAUUUCUUAAAAUAAAAUCUCCUCCUAUUGGAAGUAUCUGAAUUAUAGAUUGAGGAACUAAGGUAUCUAAAUUAUAAGAUUGAUGUCAAUAGAAACGUUAAGGAAUUGCCAAUUUUAGUUAUUAACCAUUAAGUGAUUGGAACUAAGUUCAAUUUACGUGAAGAAGUCCAAUGAAAAAGGAGUUACCUAGGGGAGGAAUUGAAGUGAGAUCAAGUUAUAUGACUGAUUUUCUGUACAAGUAUCUUAAGUUUGGAAGACCAAACUUCCUAAGUGGGGAAGGCUGUAAUGACCCCAUCACGUAUAAUGAUUAGUACUUGGGUAAUUAAGAGGAUUUGAAAUUUAAGUGCCGAUUAUUAUAAUUAAUUUGGGAUUUACAAAAAUUAUGGAGAUUGACCCAUACAUGAUUCUAUUGAGGAUUUAUUUUGGAAUUAGAAAUAGAAUGCCCAAAUGGCUCAAGAGAGUACAAUUAGUAUAUUAAGUUAUUUUAAUUUCGAAUAUCGGACCGUGUGGAAGUUUAAUUAACUAUUCGAUUCAGAUUUAUAAAUUGAGAUUCAAUUAAAUUGGGUCCGAAUUGCGGUUAAUUAAGUUAAAUAGAUUAUGAGGAUUGAGAAUUGUGAUUAUUGAGAGUUAAAGUUAUUUAUGGAACGUCCAAUUUGAAUAUGUAAUUUACUGUUGGAAAUUUGAGUCUGAUCAGAAAUUGAAGACCUAAAUGAUUUGGGAAAUCGAAAGUGAUAGUGAUAAUAAAUUCAAUUUAAUAUUUGGAGCCUUUUUGGAAGUCUGACUAAAAAUCUGAUUUGGAUUGAUAAACUUAAGUAUAUUUAAUUAGGCUCUAAUAGAAGUCAGUUAGAUUAAUUAAAUUAUGAGAGAUUUAUGAUUAGUUAUGGUCAAUUUAAUUAUAUGUAUUAUUUAAUUAAAUCAAUCUUAACAAUAAAUUGAAUUGUGGACUAAAUUAGAAUUAUGAGUGUAUAUUAAAUAUAUAUAUAAUAAAUUAUUAAGCCUUCAAGUUUUAUAUGUGUACAUGAGGAGAGAGAGAGAGUAGGCAAACCCACUUAUUAUUAUUGAGUGCAUUCUGUGGUUCAUUUUGUCUUGGCAAAACCGUGAGAAACAGAGAGACAGCCGUGGGUGAGAAAGAGAGAACCGUGAAUGAGGGAGAGUUCAACUCCUUAAAUCUUUGCUGGAAAUUUGAAGGAAAACCAAUGGAAAAGUGAAGAAAAGGAAGGAGAAACUCAAGUUUGGCUUGGAUUUGUCAAAAUUAUGCAAGAUUAAAUGUCUAUGAAGGCUCUAGGCAAAGAUUUGUCUCUCAAAUCUUGAAGAUCCUAUGGUAUAGAGUUGGAUUUAUGGGCCAUUACAUGUAUUUUGCUUGAGCAUGUUAAGAAGAAGGUCGCACGCCAUUGUCUGCCUGAUUUAUCUGGUAUGCCCAGUCUAUCUGAUUUGCUUCUGCAGCCAUCUGUGAUCAGGCGCGUGACCAGGCUUAGAGGCUUCUGCCUAGAAUCAGUUUUGUCAGCCA